This 851-nucleotide long non-coding RNA is filed under the name Homo sapiens (human). RNAcentral's name for it is "non-protein coding lnc-SYCP1-2:1". Lineage: Eukaryota; Metazoa; Chordata; Mammalia; Primates; Hominidae. The record is from RNAcentral.
AAGGGAGCCCCUUAACACUUUUGGAGGGAACUGGCUGCAGCAUUUGGCGGGGAGAGAUAAACUGGUUUCCCACCUCUGCUUACUCCCACCUUCUCCCCUUAAUCUUCUCUUCCUCUGUGCGAGACUUUUUUCCUUUUUUAUUGUAGACACAGGGUCUUUGUUCUGCUGCCCAGGUUGGAGUGCAGUGGCGUGAUCAUAGCUCACUGCAGCCUCAACCCCCCGGGCCCAAGCGAUCCUUCCACCUCAGCCUCCCGAGUAGCUGGGCCUAGAGGUGCACACCACCAUGCCUGGCUAAUUUUUAAUUUUUUUUGUAGAGAUGGAGCCUUUCUAUGUUGCCAAGCCUAGCCUCGAACUCCUGGCCUCCCAAAAUGUGGGGAAUACAGGCGUGAGCCACUGCACCCCGGGUCAUUCCUCUUUUACUUCCUUGCUGUACCCCAACUAUCCUUCCCCCUCGGUGCCCUUAAAACCUUUGCAUUGGGUAAGUACAUUUUUUAAAGAGACUCUAGAAUUGGGCGCCAGUCUCCAAUUAAAAUUGUGAAGCUUUAUGGUCUGCGUAUCAAAAGGAACCUCAGUUCCUUAAAAAUCCUGUCAUUUUGCCUUUAGGACUUAACGGUAAUAGAAUGGCAUUCCUCACUGCCUCCGAACCACUCAAGCUGCUGCCCAUGCACUCUCUUCUGCAUGGCUCCUGGACUAAGCAGCCUCCCUUUGAUUAAGCAGAGACAAGAAUCUCACUCUGUCAUCUGUGGCAAGAUCAUCUUACUGAGGCCUCAAACUCCCGGGCUCCAGCGAUCCCCCUCGGGCCUCUCAGCCUCCUGCGUAGCUAGAACUACAGGAAUGUGCCAGCAUGCCUA